CAGUAGCCACGGUAAUGCGUAGGUGGCAAGCGUUGUCCGGAAUUAUUGGGCGUAAAGCGCGCGCAGGUGGUUUAAUAAGUCUGAUGUGAAAGCCCACGGCUCAACCGUGGAGGGUCAUUGGAAACUGUUAAACUUGAGUGCAGGAGAGAAAAGUGGAAUCCCUAGUGUAGCGGUGAAAUGCGCAGAGAUUAGGAGGAACACCAGUGGCGAAGGCGGCUUUUUGGCCUGUAACUGACACUGAGGCGCGAAAGCGUGGGGAGCAAACAGGAUUAGAUACCCGUGUAGUCCCUGUCUCUUAUAC
Molecule: ribosomal RNA, 301 nt
Filed under: uncultured bacterium
Lineage: Bacteria
Description: partial 16S ribosomal RNA
Rfam family: Bacterial small subunit ribosomal RNA
Source: RNAcentral